AUGACUAUCACCAAGAUUCAGGGCCAAUCUCUAAUCAAAGUAGGACUAUAUCUACCUAAACAAGUUUUCACAUAUGGACAGUUAUACAUAGCCUUCUCAAGAGUAACAAAAAGGGAGGAACUGCGGGUAAUGGUAGAUGAUGAAGAUAGCAAUCAGGAUGAUGUGGUCAAGAACAUAUUCUAUACAGAAAUAUUCUAA
RNAcentral lists this ribosomal RNA (198 nucleotides) under Triticum aestivum (bread wheat). RNAcentral's name for it is "partial small subunit ribosomal RNA". The record is from RNAcentral. Lineage: Eukaryota; Viridiplantae; Streptophyta; Magnoliopsida; Poales; Poaceae.